UUAAAGGAAUUGACGGGGCCCGCACAGACGGAGGAGCAUGUGGUUUAAUUCGAUGAUACGCGAGGAACCUUACCUGGGCUCGAACGUAAGAUGACUGUAGGUGAAAGCUUACAUCUCUUCGGAGCAUUUUACGAGGUGCUGCAUGGUUGUCGUCAGCUCGUGCCGUGAGGUGUCGGGUUAAGUCCCAUAACGAGCGCAACCCCUACCUUAGUUGCCAUCAGGUUAAGCUGGGGACUCUAAAGGAACUGCCUACGCAAGUAGUGAGGAAGGCGGGGAUGACGUCAAAUCAGCACGGCCCUUACGUCCAGGGCUACACACGUGCUACAAUGGCCGAUACAGAGGGCAGCUACCUGGUGACAGGAUGCAAAUCUCCAAAGUCGGUCUCAGUUCGGAUCGGAGUCUGCAACCCGACUCCGUGAAGUUGGAUUCGCUAGUAAUCGCGCAUCAGCCAUGGCGCGGUGAAUACGUUCCCGGGCCUU
This 479-nucleotide ribosomal RNA is filed under the name uncultured Sphingobacteriales bacterium. RNAcentral's name for it is "bacterial SSU rRNA". It matches the Rfam family "Bacterial small subunit ribosomal RNA", at positions 901 to 1382 of the family's 1533-position model. Lineage: Bacteria; Pseudomonadati; Bacteroidota; Sphingobacteriia; Sphingobacteriales. The record is from RNAcentral.